GCGCCGCCCAAACUCAGGCCCUGUGACAGCGACUGUGGCGGUCUGGAAAGCGUGGGCCUCGGUCAUUGGGCACGAGCGGUCACGUGACAGCGGGUUCCUCCAGGCCAGCGCUGGUGGUUGAGUGAUGUAAUCACGUGGGGUCUGAAGUCUUCGUGGGUGUAGGUUUCUUCGUUAUGCUGACGACAGGCAGUGCCCGAACUCUAGGCUGGGAGUUGUGCCAUGCUGCUGCUUUCGUGGGCUGACCAGAAAAGGGUAGAAGGAUUGACGUUUACGAAGUUUUUGAAUCAGGAGGCAAGGUCGCCUUGUGCCCCCAAAAGGAUAGAAAAAGGCCUGGCAAACUGGAGAAUCGCGUCCUUACGGUAUCCUGUGUUUUCCAGUUGAAAGCUUGUGAAAAUUCGCUUUAUCCUUGAAGUUCAGAAUUUUCACCAGGAUGUAUGAAGACCCUGUCCUCGAUGGAUCAGCUGGCACCACCCAGAUGGAUAAACUGGCUCAUCUGAUCUUGUGGCCCCCAUCCAGGAAGUGACUCAGUGUAAGAAGACAGCUUCAACUCCCUAUGAUUUCAUCUCUGACCAAUCAGCACUCUCGGCUCACUGGCUUCCUCCAACCCACCAAUUUGUUCUUUUUUUUUUUGAGACCAAGUCUCACCUGUCGCCCAGGCUGGAGUGCAGUGGCGUGAUCUCUGCUCACAGCAACCUCCGCCUCCUAGGUUCAAGCAAUUCUCCUGCCCCAGCCUCCCGAGUAGCUGGGAUUACAGGUGUGCGACUCCAUGCCCGGCUAACUUUUGCAUUUUUAGUAGAGACAGGGUUUCACCAUGUUGGUCAGGCUGGUCUCAAACUUCUGACCUCGUGACCCACCCGCCUCGGCCUCCCAAAGUGCUGGGAUUACAGGCAUGGGCCACUGCGCCCAGCCAAUUUGUUCUUAAAAACUCUGAUCCCUGAAUGCUUAGGGAGACUGAUUUGAGCAGUAAUAAAACUCUGGUCUCCCACACAGCCGGCUCUGUGUGAAUUACUCUCUCUCUAUGGCAAUUCCCAUCUUGAUAGAUUGGCUCUGUCUAGGCAGCGGGCAAGGUGAACCCAUUGGGCGGUUAUAAAAGUAUGGAGGUUUAUUGCAAAGAGAAAAUUACAUAUUCAAGAAAGGGGAGUGUGAACAUACUCGAGAGUGACACAGCCCGAUUUGAGGUUUUUAUCUUUACGGAUUUCUUUAACCAAGGAAUGGAAUAUUCAUGAAGAAUCCUGGAAAAAGGUGGAGAUUUCUCAGAAAUGUGGUGCCAUCCAUUUUUUAACCAAAUAUGGGACUGUCAUGGCACUGGUGGGUGUGUGAUUUAGUACGUUAAUAAGCAUAUAAUUAGGUCCUAGGUGAAACCUAGGUCAAAUCCAGCGCCAUGUUGUGUCCUGUCAGCCUUAGCGAGUUUGGCCCACACCCCGGUUUUUAGAAUCUUAUCAGCUUCUACCUUAUGUAGCUAUUUUAACAGAUUUUUUCCUUGUUAGUUACGUGAAACUGCUGCCUGGAAUUAUUAAAUUUUUCUGCAACCACCUUGUAUUAUUCCUGUCUCAUUUUCCCC
This 1561-nucleotide long non-coding RNA is filed under the name Homo sapiens (human). Its description in RNAcentral is "HSALNT0062692". The record is from RNAcentral. Lineage: Eukaryota; Metazoa; Chordata; Mammalia; Primates; Hominidae.